Molecule: long non-coding RNA, 2481 nt
Organism: Zea mays
Lineage: Eukaryota; Viridiplantae; Streptophyta; Magnoliopsida; Poales; Poaceae
Exons: 3
Source: RefSeq, a predicted model, not a curated record
ACAUGCCCAACGGCGAGACCUCGCUCACCUUCGAUGAUCACGUCCUGCAGAACGACCUCUCCUUCAUACGCUCGAACUCACCGCCACUGCUCACCCCAACCGGAGUCUAAAGCUGCUCCACCUCGUGCCUCAGAUCUAUCUCCAAGGACUUCGAGCACAAGGAUUGCAGCGGUUUGGUGGAGUCGUGGAGAUGCUCGGCUGCUCCAGCAGUUGUGCCCAGGUGAAGCAAAAUUACAAUUUAGUAGCUCUUAUAUCUGCACCCUAAACAUAGAUUUUUGAAUUCCUGCUCUCCUUGAUUCUAUUUGUCUAUUUGUUUUCUCCGACCUGAAGCAAAAUUUAGUGUGUUAUCCUCUUUGGCUGUUUCGUGAUUAUGCUGUGUUGAAGAGCAAACUAUUAAAAGUUAUUAUUUAAUCUUCUUUUUGCAAAGCUUGUAUAUUCUCUUGUUUUAGAGAAGGAGAACAUAUUAAUUCAAUAUUGGUCUUUGCAGAUGUCUUGGACGAGUUGUUACAUGCCUUUACCUCAUUAGCAAUGACAACAAAUUAUGUAAAUGCCACAACUUUGGACACUGCUGCAACUCAGGGCCACAUUGACAUUGUUAAUCUUCUGCUAGAAAUAGAUGCAAUCCUUGCUAGGAUAUAUAGGAAACAACACGGUUGGAUUCUUUGUUGCCUAUAGCUUUUCUUUGUGAAUUCUAGCUAGACGAGUGGACUUGAAUCAUUUAGUAGCUCUUAUAUUUGCACCCUAAACAUAGAUUUUUGAAUUCCUGCUCUCCGUGAUUCUAUUUGUCUAUUUGUUUUCCCUGACCUGAAGCAAAAUUCAGUGUAUUAUUCUCUUUGACCUGAAGCAAAACUCUUGCAAAGUUGUAUACCAAGGUGCCAUCAUGUCAAAGGUAGAUAAUUUCCUAUAAACUUGCCUCGGCUAGGUUGGUCUAUAAACUUGUCGUGAGCUUUCUGUAUGUUUUCUGACUGUGUCCAUUUCCCUUUUAAUAUUAUUCGUUAUUCUAAUUCAUGUAGAACAAGGCGAUGGCCCAAUUGUAUUAAUUCUUGCUCCCACAAGAGAACUGGCUGUUCAAAUAUAGGAAGAAUCUAUAAAAUUUGGAUCAUAUUCAAGAACUAGAAGCACAUGUGUCUAUGGUGGUGCACCUAAGGGUCCACAAAUACGGGACCUUAGAGGAGGAGUUGAAAUUGUCAUUGCAACUCCUGGCCGGUUGAUUGAUAUGCUGGAAGCUGGUCACACAAACCUACGUAAAGUGACAUACCUUGUGUUGGAUGAGGCGGACCGGAUGCUAGAUAUGGGGUUUGAGCCCUAAAUUCAGAAAAUAGUAGCACAUGUACAUUUUCGUUUAGAAAUGCAGAAUUCUUACUAAUAUCUAUUGUCUUGCCUAGCUCUAAUGCUUGUCCAACACUUCUGUUAUCCUUAGAUCCGCCCAGACAGGCAAACCUUGUACUGUUAUUGUUUACAUCUUUCCAAUCUUAUUAGAAACUUAUCCAUACCCUUUGGUGUUUGAUAUUUGCAGUGCAACACAGAUUAUGAGAAAACAUCCGAGAGAGCAGUCUCAAAUUCAGUAGUCAGAUACCGACAUGAUGCAUCGGGGAGUACACGACAUCAGUUGCAGACGACAAUAAGCAACCACCUGACAAUGAACGAUUAACACUGAUAGCAAGAGCUACAAUCUUGACACCACCUACAAGCUACUGCUGCUUCUCCCUGAGUGAGCUUUGGCUUUCAUCAGUGCCUCACACAUCUUUGUUGCUUCUGCCAGUUCUACCAUGGUCAGACGGUGUCCGGGGUCUCGUCAUUUCCAGGACAACAAGGAGACCAACAUGGCCUAGAGAAGUUGAAGCCUUAGCAAGACAGUUUCUACAAAAUCCUUACAAGGUGCACGAUCUCUACUGUUAUUGUUAUUUUCUGGUUCUUUUAUUGCCAUGUUGUAUUGAAUUGAUUUUGACAGCCCUCCUCGCUAGCUUUGCGUCUGGUCCAGAUUAGCCGCCUCUAGCUCCCUCCCCAAAUCGCCCCACCCACCGUCAUCCUCACCAGCGUCGCGUCUCGUGAAAGAUGGUGCUGCAAUCUGAAGGACAUGGAUUAGAUGGGUGCCACACGCUGCUUUUAUAUGGAUCUAAUGAUUGUGGCCUUGAACACUCUCGCCAGACAUGUCUCGUGUUUUUACAUGGAUUAGAUGAGUACAUGGAUCUUUAUUUAAUCCUAAGGUAAUUGAGAUUGCGAAGAAGAUGAAAGAGGAGAGGGUCAGGUUGCUUGCUUCAGAAUAUUUUGCUUACAUCUGAUAUGACUAGAUCAAAUCAGUUGCAUUGUGACAUGUUGGUAGGAUGUCAGUUUCCCUUUUAACUUGACUCUUGUUUGCCUCUUGUGUAAUAUCCCUAAGAUGAACAUUUUGGUAAUCUGGGUGCUCAUUCAAUUGGUUGAUUUGAUCUUCAAGUAUUUAAUCGAGUAUUUAAUCUAGGUGCUCAUAUAAGUGGUUGAUUU